CUGCUGCCUUCCGUAGGAGUCUGGUCCGUGUCUCAGUACCAGUGUGGGGGACCUUCCUCUCAGAACCCCUACGCAUCGUCGGUUAGGUGGGCCGUUACCCCGCCUACUGCCUAAUGCGCCGCAUGCCCAUCCCUGUCCGGCCGAAGCCUUUCCUGCCUCCGGGAUGCCCCGGUGGCAUGUACGCGGGUUUAGCCCGCCUUUCGGCGGGUUGUCCCCCUGCAUAGGGCAGGUUCCAUACGUGUUACUCACCCGUGCGCCGGUCGCCGGCAGGCGAAAG
Molecule: ribosomal RNA, 277 nt
Filed under: uncultured bacterium
Lineage: Bacteria
Description: partial 16S ribosomal RNA
Source: RNAcentral